CGAAAGCCUGAUGGAGCAACGCCGCGUGUGUGAUGAAGGCUUUCGGGUCGUAAAGCACUGUUGUAUGGGAAGAACAGCUAGAAUAGGGAAUGAUUUUAGUUUGACGGUACCAUACCAGAAAGGGACGGCUAAAUACGUGCCAGCAGCCGCGGUAAUACGUAUGUCCCGAGCGUUAUCCGGAUUUAUUGGGCGUAAAGCGAGCGCAGACGGUUGAUUAAGUCUGAUGUGAAAGCCCGGAGCUCAACUCCGGAAUGGCAUUGGAAACUGGUUAACUUGAGUGCAGUAGAGGUAAGUGGAACUCCAUGUGUAGCGGUGGAAUGCGUAGAUAUAUGGAAGAACACCAGUGGCGAAAGCGGCUUACUGGACUGUAACUGACGUUGAGGCUCGAAAGUGUGGGUAGCAAACAGGAUUAGAUACCCUGGUAGUCCACACCGUAAACGAUGAACACUAGGUGUUAGGAGGUUUCCGCCUCUUAGUGCCGAAGCUAACGCAUUAAGUGUUCCGCCUGGGGAGUACGACCGCAAGGUUGAAACUCAAGGAAUUGACGGGGACCCGCACAGCGGUGGAGCAUGUGGUUUAAUUCGAAGCACGCGAGAACCUUACCAGGUCUUGACAUCCUUGAGCUUUUAGAGAUAGAGUGUCUCUU
This 646-nucleotide ribosomal RNA is filed under the name Leuconostoc pseudomesenteroides. RNAcentral's name for it is "bacterial SSU rRNA". It matches the Rfam family "Bacterial small subunit ribosomal RNA", at positions 376 to 1019 of the family's 1533-position model. The record is from RNAcentral. Lineage: Bacteria; Bacillati; Bacillota; Bacilli; Lactobacillales; Lactobacillaceae.